This 31-nucleotide non-coding RNA is filed under the name Homo sapiens (human). Lineage: Eukaryota; Metazoa; Chordata; Mammalia; Primates; Hominidae. The record is from RNAcentral.
UGGGUGCAUCACACACAGCACAUCCUGCCGC